UACAGAGGUCCCAAGCGUUGUUCGGAUUCACUGGGCGUAAAGGGUGCGUAGGCGGUCGGGUAAGUCUAACGUGAAAUCUCCGAGCCUAACUCGGAAACUGCGUCGGAUACUAUUCGGCUAGAGGAAUGGAGGGGAGACUGGAAUUCUCGGUGUAGCAGUGAAAUGCGUAGAUAUCGAGAGGAACACCAGUGGCGAAGGCGAGUCUCUGGACAUUUCCUGACGCUGAGGCACGAAAGCCAGGGGAGCAAACGGG
This 253-nucleotide ribosomal RNA is filed under the name uncultured bacterium. RNAcentral's name for it is "partial 16S ribosomal RNA". It matches the Rfam family "Bacterial small subunit ribosomal RNA", at positions 524 to 776 of the family's 1533-position model. The record is from RNAcentral.